ACGAACGCUGGCGGCAGGCCUAACACAUGCAAGUCGAGCGCUACCUUCGGGGUGAGCGGCGGACGGGUGAGUAACGCGUGGGAAUAUGCCCUUCUCUAAGGAAUAGCCUCUGGAAACGGAGAGUAAUACCAUAUACGCCCUUCGGGGGAAAGAUUUAUCGGUGAAGGAUUAGCCCGCGUAAGAUUAGAUAGUUGGUGGGGUAAUGGCCUACCAAGUCUACGAUCUAUAGCUGGUUUGAGAGGAUGAUCAGCCACAUUGGGACUGAGACACGGCCCAAACUCCUACGGGAGGCAGCAGUGGGGAAUCUUGC
Molecule: ribosomal RNA, 310 nt
Filed under: uncultured Rhodobacterales bacterium
Lineage: Bacteria; Pseudomonadati; Pseudomonadota; Alphaproteobacteria; Rhodobacterales
Description: SSU rRNA
Rfam family: Bacterial small subunit ribosomal RNA
Source: RNAcentral